AGCAGUAGCCGCGGUAAUACAGAGGGUGCGAGCGUUAAUCGGAUUUACUGGGCGUAAAGCGUGCGUAGGCGGCUUCUUAAGUCGGAUGUGAAAUCCCUGAGCUUAACUUAGGAAUUGCAUUCGAUACUGGGAAGCUAGAGUAUGGGAGAGGAUGGUAGAAUUCCAGGUGUAGCGGUGAAAUGCGUAGAGAUCUGGAGGAAUACCGAUGGCGAAGGCAGCCAUCUGGCCUAAUACUGACGCUGAGGUACGAAAGCAUGGGGAGCAAACAGGAUUAGAUACCCGUGUAGUCCCUGUCUCUUAUAU
RNAcentral lists this ribosomal RNA (303 nucleotides) under uncultured bacterium. RNAcentral describes it as "partial 16S ribosomal RNA". It matches the Rfam family "Bacterial small subunit ribosomal RNA", at positions 507 to 809 of the family's 1533-position model. The record is from RNAcentral.